Phasianus colchicus (ring-necked pheasant) is the source of this 312-nucleotide long non-coding RNA. RefSeq lists it as uncharacterized. The record is from RefSeq and is a predicted model, not a curated record. NCBI's taxonomy places the organism in Eukaryota, Metazoa, Chordata, Aves, Galliformes, Phasianidae.
UCCCUGAAGGACCUGGCUUCUUUUUUAGUCCUCUAAAAAAUCCCUGAGUUUCUCCUUUCAUCUGGAGCCUCCUUGGAUGCUAUAGAUCUGUCAUCUCACCUAAUCUACAAAAGCUUCACAAAUUUUCAAGUAACCAUUAUAAGGCUUGAGGAAUGCUCUACUGAAGGAAAAUUAUGAGAGCACUAGGAUUACUCUGCUCUCAGGAGGCUCAACACAUUUUCCUGGGUUACAUCAGCACAGCCAGAAGAGCUCUUCCAUCUUUGCUACGCACGGUUCUAAUUCAGAUUUGGAAACAGGUUACUACUUUCAUAA